GGGGCAUUAGCGCAGCUGGUAGCGCAUCUGCUUUGCAAGCAGAGGGUCACCGGUUCGAGUCCGGUAUGCUCCA
RNAcentral lists this transfer RNA (73 nucleotides) under Bifidobacterium pullorum. It matches the Rfam family "tRNA". Rfam says of the family: Transfer RNA (tRNA) molecules are approximately 80 nucleotides in length. Their secondary structure includes four short double-helical elements and three loops (D, anti-codon, and T loops). RNAcentral also lists the same sequence under 1 other name. Lineage: Bacteria; Bacillati; Actinomycetota; Actinomycetes; Bifidobacteriales; Bifidobacteriaceae. The record is from RNAcentral.